Long non-coding RNA from Solea senegalensis (Senegalese sole), 333 nucleotides. RefSeq lists it as uncharacterized. The record is from RefSeq and is a predicted model, not a curated record. The transcript is spliced from 3 exons. Lineage: Eukaryota; Metazoa; Chordata; Actinopteri; Pleuronectiformes; Soleidae.
AUUUGCCAUUUGUGCUUAAACAGACAGUCCAGGCACAUUGGAAAUCUUGUACGGGUUCUCCGAGUCAGUUGUAGAAGUGAUUAUGUCCUACAUACUCAGACUGAUGCCAUUGAUGUCAGAAGAGAGUGCAUCAUCAAAGCCCUGUGUGUGUACCUGAAUGAAGAGCCCAAGAACCUUGUGAAAGAAUACAUGAACACAGAUGGUCAAAGCAUUGAAGCUGCAAUCACGGAGACUACAUUUGGAAUCUUUGUCAUUCGCAAGGAAGGCGAGGAGCCAGAUGUUGGACCGGAAGAUCUGCACCAGAGGGAGAGGAGAUGCUGACAGAUCACAGAU